Molecule: non-coding RNA, 528 nt
Organism: Oryzias latipes (Japanese medaka)
Lineage: Eukaryota; Metazoa; Chordata; Actinopteri; Beloniformes; Adrianichthyidae
Source: RefSeq, a predicted model, not a curated record
UCGGCGUCCGGGACCGCCUGGAGGCGGUCGUUGACGGGGGGGUACUGUCAUGGUGCCUGCCGGUCUCCUCCCCCUUCCAGCCCUGCUCUGCUCCUGACUCCAGCUGUGACCAAUCAACUCAUCAACUCACCUGCUUCUUAAGGAGACCCAACUCCAAGAGUCUUCGCCAGUUCGUUAACCCUGAUGGUUUUGUCAUGCCACGAUUGUCACCUGGAACCUACACCACCUUGAGCUGCAGCUACCUCCCAGACGCCGACACUCUUCGGCCACAGCACGCACUGGUUCCGGCUACACUGGUCCUCCAGCCUUGCCACUCACAAGAACUCCAGCAACACCCCUCCUCAAGACCUUCAGUCACACCACUCUCAAGAUCUCCAGUAGCGCUGCAGCUGCACCUCUGUCAGCAAGAGCUACAGCUCGCUCGGGCUUCUCCACCACGCUCAAAGCCACGCCUUCUAGUCUCGACCUAGCCACGCUCCUCCAAGCCUUCGCCAUAUUCAGUGACAUUAAAUUACAUUUAUCCACUUA